AGAGAUGUAGCUCAGUGGUAGAGCGCUUGCUUAGCAUGCUUGAGGCCCUGGGAUUGGUCCCCAGUAUUGCAU
This 72-nucleotide transfer RNA is filed under the name Rattus norvegicus (Norway rat). It matches the Rfam family "tRNA". Rfam says of the family: Transfer RNA (tRNA) molecules are approximately 80 nucleotides in length. Their secondary structure includes four short double-helical elements and three loops (D, anti-codon, and T loops). Further hydrogen bonds mediate the characteristic L-shaped molecular structure. tRNAs have two regions of fundamental functional importance: the anti-codon, which is responsible for specific mRNA codon recognition, and the 3' end, to which the tRNAs corresponding amino acid is attached (by aminoacyl-tRNA synthetases). tRNAs cope with the degeneracy of the genetic code in two manners: having more than one tRNA (with a specific anti-codon) for a particular amino acid; and 'wobble' base-pairing, i.e. permitting non-standard base-pairing at the 3rd anti-codon position. Lineage: Eukaryota; Metazoa; Chordata; Mammalia; Rodentia; Muridae. The record is from Rfam by way of RNAcentral.